This 487-nucleotide ribosomal RNA is filed under the name uncultured Bacillota bacterium. RNAcentral describes it as "bacterial SSU rRNA". It matches the Rfam family "Bacterial small subunit ribosomal RNA", at positions 224 to 704 of the family's 1533-position model. The record is from RNAcentral. Lineage: Bacteria; Bacillati; Bacillota.
GAUGGACCUGCGGCGCAUUAGCUAGUUGGUGAGGUAGAGGCUCACCAAGGCGACGAUGCGUAGCCGACCUGAGAGGGUGAACGGCCACACUGGGACUGAGACACGGCCCAGACUCCUACGGGAGGCAGCAGUAGGGAAUCUUCGGCAAUGGACGAAAGUCUGACCGAGCAACGCCGCGUGAGUGAUGAAGGUUUUCGGAUCGUAAAACUCUGUUGCCAGGGAAGAAUGGCUAGGCGAGUAACUGCGCUUAGUUUGACGGUACCUGAGAAGAAAGCCCCGGCUAACUACGUGCCAGCAGCCGCGGUAAUACGUAGGGGGCAAGCGUUGUCCGGAAUUAUUGGGCGUAAAGCGCGCGCAGGCGGUCAUUUAAGUCUGGUGUAUAAACCAAGGGCUCAACCUUUGGACGCAUUGGAAACUGGGUGACUGGAGUGUAGGAGAGGAAAGUGGAAUUCCACGUGUAGCGGUGAAAUGCGUAGAGAUGUGGAGG